Molecule: ribosomal RNA, 460 nt
Filed under: uncultured bacterium
Lineage: Bacteria
Description: bacterial SSU rRNA
Rfam family: Bacterial small subunit ribosomal RNA
Source: RNAcentral
AACGAACGCUGGCGGCAGGCCUAACACAUGCAAGUCGAACGCCCCGCAAGGGGAGUGGCAGACGGGUGAGUAACACGUGGGAACGUGCCCUAAGGUUCGGAAUAUUCCCGGGAAACUGGGAGCAAUACCGAAUGUGACCGCAAGGUGAAAGAUUUAUCGCCUUAGGAUCGGCCCGCGUCGGAUUAGCUUGUUGGUGGGGUAAAAGCCUACCAAGGCGACGAUCCGUAGCUGGUCUGAGAGGACGACCAGCCACACUGGGACUGAGACACGGCCCAGACUCCUACGGGAGGCAGCAGUGGGGAAUCUUGGACAAUGGGCGCAAGCCUGAUCCAGCCAUGCCGCGUGGAUGAUGAAGGCCUUAGGGUUGUAAACCGCUUUUGUCAGGGAAGAAACGCUUCGGGCUAAUACUUCGAAGUAAUGACGGUACCUGAAGAAUAAGCACCGGCUAACUACGUGCCAG